UACAGAGGGUGCGAGCGUUAAUCGGAAUUACUGGGCGUAAAGCGUGCGUAGACGGUUUCGUAAGUCGGGUGUGAAAGCCCCGGGCUCAACCUGGGAAUUGCAUUCGAGACUGCGUAGCUAGGGUGCGGAAGAGGGAAGCGGAAUUUCCGGUGUAGCGGUGAAAUGCGUAGAUAUCGGAAGGAACAUCAGUGGCGAAAGCGGCUUCCUGGUCCAGCACCGGCGUUCAGGCACGAAAGCGUGGGGAGCAAACGGG
RNAcentral lists this ribosomal RNA (253 nucleotides) under uncultured bacterium. Its description in RNAcentral is "partial 16S ribosomal RNA". It matches the Rfam family "Bacterial small subunit ribosomal RNA", at positions 524 to 776 of the family's 1533-position model. The record is from RNAcentral.